RNAcentral lists this long non-coding RNA (439 nucleotides) under Dufourea novaeangliae. RNAcentral's name for it is "uncharacterized LOC107194938, transcript variant X2". Lineage: Eukaryota; Metazoa; Arthropoda; Insecta; Hymenoptera; Halictidae. The record is from RNAcentral.
AUAUUCUUUAACGUCCAAAGUUCGAUUACAGCUGACCAUAACUCUGAAGACUGAUCAUCACAAUGAAAUUUCUGUGGAUGUGUUUGAUCGUUGCAACCGUAUUUGGUACUAAUUUGUGUGCUCCUUUGGAAAACGGAAUAUGUUCACCGUGGUUGGGACCGUGUCAGAUAACUGAACAAUGUUGCCAAAAUCUUACCUGUUUGUCGUACACAAGUAAAUGUGUGCUAAGUGAUGGUGUCUAUAACACAGUCAACUAUACAAUCCCACUUUGAGACGGACCGUAUCCUCCAGGCUACCCAAACGAAACGACCACCCAAUUCGUUUUCGUUUGAUUUCGUAAUGAUUUCUGUCCCAAUAUUUCCAUUCUAAUAACACCUUUGUAUCGGUGAUAUCAUUGAUGUAGUAAAUAAAGUUCUAUAAUAUAAAACUAUAAAAUACA